ACACAAUAGCUCCACAACCUUUAUAAUUCCUCAAAUGCAAAGAGAAGUACAUAUCACCCAACAGAGUAGGCACAUGAUUCCCAAUCAAGAAGAUUCUAAUGGCAUUAACAUCAACAAAACCGUCAAUGUUAGGGAACAAAGCCAAACCAUAGAUGAGAAACACAAAGAUGGCUUCAAAAGCAUCCACACUACCGGCUUGAGCAAAGGAAAUAGCUUUCCCAAUGAGAAACCCAGAAGUCAACCCAAACAUUCCUCCUUUCUUCACCCAAUGAGCC
Molecule: long non-coding RNA, 275 nt
Filed under: Lathyrus oleraceus (garden pea)
Lineage: Eukaryota; Viridiplantae; Streptophyta; Magnoliopsida; Fabales; Fabaceae
Description: Pisum sativum (pea) long non-coding RNA (PSAT_LNC040638)
Source: RNAcentral